Molecule: ribosomal RNA, 894 nt
Filed under: uncultured Bacteroidota bacterium
Lineage: Bacteria; Pseudomonadati; Bacteroidota
Description: bacterial SSU rRNA
Rfam family: Bacterial small subunit ribosomal RNA
Source: RNAcentral
GGAUCCAGACUCUUAUUAUGGCUCAGGAUGAACGCUAGCUACAGGCCUAACACAUGCAAGUCGAGGGGAAACGGCAGCUUAGCUUGCUAAGCUGGACGUCGACCGGCGCACGGGUGAGUAACGCGUAUCCAACCUGCCCCACGGUGAGGGAUAACCCGCGGAAACGCGGCCUAAUACCUCAUGGUCUCCGAGUUUGCCAUCAACCUUGGAGUAAAGAUUCAUUGCCGUGGGAUGGGGAUGCGUCUGAUUAGCUUGUUGGCGGGGCAACGGCCCACCAAGGCAACGAUCAGUAGGGGUUCUGAGAGGAAAGCCCCCCACAUUGGAACUGAGACACGGUCCAAACUCCUACGGGAGGCAGCAGUGAGGAAUAUUGGUCAAUGGGCGAGAGCCUGAACCAGCCAAGUAGCGUGCAGGAAGACGGCCCUAUGGGUUGUAAACUGCUUUUAUGCGGGGAUAAAGCGGGCGACGUGUCGCCCUUUGCAGGUACCGCAUGAAUAAGGACCGGCUAAUUCCGUGCCAGCAGCCGCGGUAAUACGGAAGGUCCGGGCGUUAUCCGGAUUUAUUGGGUUUAAAGGGAGCGCAGGCCGGGUAUUAAGCGUGUUGUGAAAUGUAGGCGCCCAACGUCUGCACCGCAGCGCGAACUGGUGCCCUUGAGUACGCACGACGUUGGCGGAAUUCGCCGUGUAGCGGUGAAAUGCUUAGAUAUGGCGAAGAACUCCGAUUGCGAAGGCAGCUGACGGGAGCGCUACUGACGCUCAUGCUCGAAAGCGCGGGUAUCGAACAGGAUUAGAUACCCUGGUAGUCCGCGCGGUAAACGAUGGAUGCCCGCUAUUUGCGCAUUAGCGCAAGUGGCCAAGUGAAAACGUUAAGCAUCCCACCUGGGGAGUACGCCGG